Molecule: RNA transcript, 2191 nt
Organism: Manihot esculenta (cassava)
Lineage: Eukaryota; Viridiplantae; Streptophyta; Magnoliopsida; Malpighiales; Euphorbiaceae
Gene name: pectin acetylesterase 8
Exons: 16
Source: RefSeq, a predicted model, not a curated record
CUCAGUAGUAAGGGGGAGGGUUACGGGACCAAGAGGGAAGAGGUAAAGGAAACAGAGAGAGAGAGAGAGAGGAAAGGAAAGGAUAAGAAAAGAACAGAAAAGAAACGAAACGAAAAGAAAAGAAAGGAAAGGGGAGAAGAAGAAGAAGAAGAAGAAGAAGAAAGAGAGGGAAGGAAAGGAUAAGAAAAGAAAAGAAAAGAAAGGGGAAAAGAAGAAGAAGAAGAAGAAGCAGAGGAAGAGAUGUCACAGGCAGUAGGUGUUUCAUUUCCUCAGGUUAAGAAAAUCACCGACGGAAAAGAAAGAGAGUGGUAAGCUCAUGCACGUGAGGUGGAACUAUGAAACACGCGCCAUAAAUUGCAUGAUGAUAUAUUCAAGAAUGAGUCAAUGGAUGAAUCUUCUUAUUUGUGUUUUGUUGUUGAAGAAGAUAGAAGGCCUCUAUGUGGGAAUUACUUAUGUUAGGAAUGCUGUGGCAAAAGGAGCUGUUUGUUUGGAUGGAAGCCCUCCAGCAUACCAUUUGGAUAAGGGGUUUGGUACUGGCAUUAAUAGUUGGUUGGUUCACUUUGAGGGAGGAGGUUGGUGUAACAAUAUAACAACUUGCCUUGCCCGCAAGAAUACUCGUUUAGGUUCAUCAAAGCAAAUGGCCACACCACUUGCUUUCUCUGGAAUUAUGAACAACAUGAGACAAUAUAAUCCAGAUUUCUAUAAUUGGAAUAGAGUUAAGAUUAGAUACUGUGAUGGAGCUUCAUUUACCGGUGAUGUGGAAGCAGUCAAUCCCGCUACUAACCUUCACUUCAGAGGAGCAAGGAUUUUUCUUGCUGUCAUAGAGGAUCUAUUAGCUAAAGGAAUGAAAAACGCUGAAAAUGCUCUUCUUUCUGGUUGCUCAGCUGGUGGACUGGCUUCCAUUCUACACUGUGAUAGCUUCCGAGCUCUCCUACCAAUGGGUACUAAAGUAAAAUGCCUUUCAGAUGCUGGUUAUUUUAUCAAUGUGAAGGAUGUUUCUGGAGCACCACACAUACAAACCUACUUCAAUCAAGUGGUCUCAUUGCAUGGAUCAGCAAAAAAUUUACCCCUUUCCUGUACUUCAAGACUAAACCCUGCAUUGUGUUUCUUCCCACAAUACGUGGUGCAACAAAUAAAGACACCCCUGUUUGUGCUAAAUGCAGCUUACGAUUCAUGGCAGAUUAAGAAUACUUUGGCACCAAGUGCUGUUGAUCCCAGUGGCACCUGGAAAGCUUGCAAGCUUGACAUAAAUACUUGCUCCCCUAUUCAACUUAAAACAGUGCAAGAUUUUAGGACAAAAUUCUUGAAUACAUUAUAUAGAUCAACAAACUCUUCUUCCAAAGGUGUGUAUAUAGAUUCUUGCUAUGUCCACUGCCAAACUGAAUUACAGGAGACAUGGUUCAUGACUGGCUCUCCAGAACUUGGCAAAACAAAAAUUGCAAAGGCAAUUGGAGAUUGGUUUUAUGACGAGAAUCCUUUCCAAAAGAUUGAUUGUCCUUACCCUUGCAAUCCAACCUGCCCAAGAAGUGAUUUGGAUAAGCAACAUCACCUAGAUACAGGAUUAGGGAAUGGGAUUGCAGCAACUGUAAAAUUGAGUUUGGUGACAAUGGUUUUUUGUUGGUUGAUAAUGGGCAUGAAAAUCAGUUUCAAGAACUGAAAUCAAAGAGUAGAUAGGUAGAUGAUGAAAAGGAUGCAAUAUAGCACUUGAGCUCCUUGGCCAACAUCUUUAUACAUUCAAUAUACCUCUACAUCAAUUGUACUCGCAGACUUACUCCAGUGAAUCUAGAAGAAUGUGGGUUUCAAAGUGAAGCUAAGAUACUUACCGCCGAGGAAGAAGGCCGUUAGUGCUAUAGAUGAUGGGUCCAAGGGAGAGCAACUAAUUGAAAGUCCAAGGGAGAUGGUGUUGUAGAAGCAAUGGAGCCAAAGGCAACACUCCUUGAGGAGGAGCAAUAAUAGGUGUAAGGUUUAAAGGAUGGCAAAGUCACCUAACCAGGAUAUAUGAGAGGAGCACUGCUAAGGCGCAAAAAAAAACGUUAAUGGCUAAUAAAUGCGAAAUCAGCUUGUCUAUAUCUUGUUUAUCUCAUACAUCAUUUCAGUUUAUCAUAUGUGUAUUUAUAAUCUUAAAGACGUUCCGAAAAAAAAGACUGAGUUAUAAGAGAUCGACAUUCAAUUUUAAUUCCUUCAGGUUGUA